Triangularia verruculosa is the source of this 108-nucleotide non-coding RNA. NCBI's taxonomy places the organism in Eukaryota, Fungi, Ascomycota, Sordariomycetes, Sordariales, Podosporaceae. The record is from the annotation of a GenBank genome assembly.
UCCCAUAUAGUGUAGUGGUUAGCAUGUCAGGUUUUCAACUCUGUUCCUUCCCUAGCAGGAAGUACAGUGAACUCCCUGGAGACCCGGGUUCAAACCCCGGUGUGGGAA